Molecule: ribosomal RNA, 332 nt
Filed under: uncultured Pseudomonadaceae bacterium
Lineage: Bacteria; Pseudomonadati; Pseudomonadota; Gammaproteobacteria; Pseudomonadales; Pseudomonadaceae
Description: bacterial SSU rRNA
Rfam family: Bacterial small subunit ribosomal RNA
Source: RNAcentral
CCGCGUGUGUGAAGAAGGUCUUCGGAUUGUAAAGCACUUUAAGUUGGGAGGAAGGGCAGUAAGUUAAUACCUUGCUGUUUUGACGUUACCAACAGAAUAAGCACCGGCUAACUUCGUGCCAGCAGCCGCGGUAAUACGAAGGGUGCAAGCGUUAAUCGGAAUUACUGGGCGUAAAGCGCGCGUAGGUGGUUCGUUAAGUUGGAUGUGAAAGCCCCGGGCUCAACCUGGGAACUGCAUCCAAAACUGGCGAGCUAGAGUAUGGCAGAGGGUGGUGGAAUUUCCUGUGUAGCGGUGAAAUGCGUAGAUAUAGGAAGGAACACCAGUGGCGAAGG